RNAcentral lists this ribosomal RNA (804 nucleotides) under uncultured bacterium. RNAcentral describes it as "bacterial SSU rRNA". It matches the Rfam family "Bacterial small subunit ribosomal RNA", at positions 58 to 874 of the family's 1533-position model. The record is from RNAcentral.
CAAGUCGAGCGGUAAGGCCCCUUCGGGGGUACACGAGCGGCGAACGGGUGAGUAACACGUGAGCAAUCUGCCCAUCACAUCGGGAUAACUCCGGGAAACCGAAGCUAAUACCGAAUACAACCACUUCAGACAUCUGACGGUGGUGGAAAGUUCCGGCGGUGAUGGAUGAGCUCGCGGCCUAUCAGCUAGUUGGUGAGGUAACGGCCCACCAAGGCUUCGACGGGUAGCCGGCCUGAGAGGGUGACCGGCCACACUGGGACUGAGACACGGCCCAGACUCCUACGGGAGGCAGCAGUGGGGAAUAUUGGACAAUGGGCGAAAGCCUGAUCCAGCAACGCCGCGUGAGGGAUGACGGCCUUCGGGUUGUAAACCUCUUUCAGCAGGGACGAAGCGCAAGUGACGGUACCUGCAGAAGAAGCACCGGCCAACUACGUGCCAGCAGCCGCGGUAAUACGUAGGGUGCGAGCGUUGUCCGGAAUUAUUGGGCGUAAAGGGCUCGUAGGCGGUCCAUCGCGUCGGGAGUGAAAAGCUGGGGCUUAACCCCAGUCCUGCUUCCGAUACGGGUGGACUAGAGGUAGGUAGGGGAGAACGGAAUUCCUGGUGUAGCGGUGAAAUGCGCAGAUAUCAGGAGGAACACCGAUGGCGAAGGCAGAUCUCUGGGCCGUAACUGACGCUGAGGAGCGAAAGCAUGGGGAGCGAACAGGAUUAGAUACCCUGGUAGUCCAUGCCGUAAACGUUGGGAACUAGAUGUGGGGACCAUUCCACGGUCUCCGUGUCGCAGCUAACGCAUUAAGUUCCCCGCCU